GCCGGGUUAGCUCAGUUGGUAGAGCAACGGUUUUGUAAACCGUGGGUCGGGGGUUCGAGUCCCUCACCCGGCACCA
Molecule: transfer RNA, 76 nt
Filed under: Astrobacterium formosum
Lineage: Bacteria; Pseudomonadati; Pseudomonadota; Alphaproteobacteria; Hyphomicrobiales; Nitrobacteraceae
Description: tRNA-Thr
Rfam family: tRNA
About the family: Transfer RNA (tRNA) molecules are approximately 80 nucleotides in length. Their secondary structure includes four short double-helical elements and three loops (D, anti-codon, and T loops). Further hydrogen bonds mediate the characteristic L-shaped molecular structure. tRNAs have two regions of fundamental functional importance: the anti-codon, which is responsible for specific mRNA codon recognition, and the 3' end, to which the tRNAs corresponding amino acid is attached (by aminoacyl-tRNA synthetases). tRNAs cope with the degeneracy of the genetic code in two manners: having more than one tRNA (with a specific anti-codon) for a particular amino acid; and 'wobble' base-pairing, i.e. permitting non-standard base-pairing at the 3rd anti-codon position.
Source: RNAcentral